This 1706-nucleotide ribosomal RNA is filed under the name Triticum aestivum (bread wheat). Its description in RNAcentral is "partial small subunit ribosomal RNA". The record is from RNAcentral. Lineage: Eukaryota; Viridiplantae; Streptophyta; Magnoliopsida; Poales; Poaceae.
GAAGAGGGAUAAGGGUGUCGGCUUUGGGAUCUAGAGCGGCGGCGGGAGGAACCGAGCGCGACGAGACGACGACGAGGAACCGAGCGAGACCCUCUUCUGCUUCUCCUCUUUUCUCUCGGCUCGUACUUAGGUCUAGGUUACCUUCACGUUCUUGGUGGUGGGGUAUCCUUGCUCUUUUGGUAGAAACUCUCUACGUCUCUUCGGUCUUUGAAAGCAUGAUUACGAUCCUCCACACCGUGAGAAUAAGUCGGGAUGCUUAAAUCGACAGGUGUUUGACGUCUUGAACCUAAAUUUCUACCAAUAUAGAUAAUAAGUUCGUUCCGUUAUUUCAAACGACGCCUAUAUCUUGUUCCUAAACUGAUUCUCCUUGACGUCUUUGCUCGACGGUGGAAGACCCAAGACUUACUUCACGGAAAACCAGUCGAUUUGGGUAACCCCGAUUUAGGUAGGUAACUACAUCCCUAACAAUUCUGGAUGCCGCACCGGAUAUUAUGGGAUUAACCUUUUUGUUAGUAACGGAAACGAGCGAGAGUUGUUUCACACGAGAGGACCUAUCGUUUAGGUCUAUUGUCAUACAAGCAAGCACUAGUCAAUUCUUUAUCAUAAUCCAUACCGGUAGGAAGAGGGGAGAAAUAAGAGAUCUCUAAUGUAAACGAAUAGUUAGGAAAAUAGAGGUACAGUGAAAUGUAACGGAGCAUGUGAACAUAAACGGGGUAUAUAAUCAUCAGAAAAACUAAACCCUGUUUGUCACCUGUCAUCUAUUACACCUUCUAUAACCUUGAAUGCGAUAAUUACUCUUAUACUAGGUUUAAUACGGUAAGGCUCAAGCACCUUCCUGAGGACUACUACACUACUGUGGAUCCGUCCCAAACGUUGAUGACUAUGUCUGGUUAUAAAACGUUGUAACCGGUCUACUAUAACUUGAUCGCGUGAAGUUACGUAAGGAGUAAUUGGGUUUAUAUUUGUAUUCCUUUGUUCUACAGGAGCUAGUAGGUAAGGAUCAGUGUCAGGGGGUGCAAUCCCUCUCGUUCAUAUUUUCUAAUAUACUUUUUCCUUAAAAAAAAUGGCUACUGGUUUAUCUAACCAACCUCUUUGUAUAGAAGAAUGUCCCCACCGUUGCGUUACAACCUCUGGGCAGAGAAUGUCGCUAAGACCUGGUAGUUUAACUUCAAUGGGCCCCCCACCCCAAACGAGUUUGUCAAAAACCUCGGAACGUGAAACGGUUUCAUCAGUAUCGAGUAAUAGUGGUCAUACUAUAAUUAUCCGCCGGAGAAGAACUACUACUAGAGUCCGUAAAAGACGUUCCUGAAGAAUGACCUCAUAUACCACGAUCCAAAUUACUCCUUAAAUAACGAAACCCGGACUUCGAAUUACUCCUUAAAUAACGACUCCUGGGCCGCGAAUUACUACUUAAAUAACGUCUCCCGAUCCCGAUCCCGAUCAGUCUGAAUAACAGAGGCGAAGUAGGUUGAUAUAUAAGCAUACUCGAAACAGUCGAAACCAAAACUAAUGAACGUUCAUCAGUCUAUACGUGGUACAGGAUACCAGUCACAUACUUAACAUUUGGAAUUAAUAGAGUUGGAAUAGGUUGAUAAGUACACUCGAAAAAGUCGAAACAAAACUAAUGAACGUUCAUCAGUCUAUACGUGGUGCAGGAUACCAGUCACACACUUAACAUUUGGAAUUAAUAGAGUCGGAAUAGGUUG